AUGGAGGGUGGACCUGGUUACCUGUUCCAUCGAAAGAACAAUGUGGGUUUCGCCUUGUUUCGGUGCGAUCGGAUUACCGACGGAGAUGAAAAUAUCUCAAGCCCUCCUCGAUUCCUUUCACUCCCCCACGACCCCGCCGCCGCCGCCUCCUCUCCUGCUGCCGCCGCCGCGCCACCACAGCCACCUCCUCUCAUCUCUGCCUUCUCUCCUGCUGCCCCCGCCGCGCCACCGCAGCUGCCUCCUCUCAUCUCUGCCUCUCCUGUUGCCCCCGCCGCGCCAGGGCCUCGCCUCGCCCUCAAGUGCACCGUCGACCUCCCAGACCUUGUUCUCCGCCUCGUCGCACUGACCAUCUUGAGCUCGAGCCGAGGAGCGGCCCGUGUCGCGUGGUGGCCAGAUGCGGCGGCCCCAUGCUCAAGCGCGGUGCUGCAAAAUGAUGGAUCUAUCACUUCUCUCCUCGUUCGGUCAGAAGGAGCAGUGAGACCGGAGCUGCGGAGAGCCGGAGUCAGGGACAAGAAGCAGCAGGGACCGGGCUUCCGCUGCAGUGGAGUGGAGCUGCAGGGAGAGGAAGGAAGCACCAGAAUUGUGCAGGAUGUCUGUGUGUGUGUGUUGUGCUUGGAGUGCAGUAGUACCAGGGCUCCUAUCGCUGCCAGUACCCCGACGGUGAAGGCCAUGGCGGUGGUCAACCUGCUGUUCUCAAUCUUUCAGAACUCCAGCUGCGUCGCUUGGUGCUUCUCGGCCAUUCUCUGUUCGGAGUCGGGGACAAGAAGCAGCAGGGACCGGGCUCCCGCUGCAGUGGAGUGGAGCUGCAGGGAGAGGAAGGAAGCCGGUGACAGAAGAAAAGAAGAUGCCGGCUCUGGUUCAUCAUGGAGAAACAGCUGCUCGCCCUCCUCCGCCUCUUCCCUAACCAUGGGUUCGUGUACCAAAUUAUGUAGCUUGCUUCUGAUCCAUGUGCUCAUCUCCGUUUCCAUGUCUUGUUUUUUUCAGAGACAAUGCCAACGAAUUGUCGGUCACGGGUACCGAGUCACUCUCAUUGAAGUUGUUACCUUUGUUUCUUUGUUAAACAACACUCUGCUGGUCUUGCUAUUCGCCAUUUUCCUCCCCACUAUAAUGCUGCCACUCUGUGAUGCCUCGGCAAGAAGGCCAAUCGCAGGGAGAUACGCCAUGGCAUGUCCUGAAGAGGCAAUCAGCCUCUGGUGGCUGCUGCAUGCAGAGCGGGUGCGCCAGUUCUUUGUUCCUCUCACUGGGCGGUUGUUUCAUUUUGUCUACAGCAAUGGGGUUGCUUCCUCUGCUCCGUUCGUGUGGUUGAUGUAUUUCGGUGGCCUCAAGCCCUCAACCCUCUGGAUCAUCCGUCCGCUGUGCGUGCUCUCAUCCGGGUUGCCGAGGGACGCCUCCUCCUGCGGCGCUCCUGUCCAAUUUUUUGUUUAUCUUCAGGUAUCUGCUUUAUGUGGAAAUAUGCCAAUGGAUAAUAUCCUCCGGAUUAACAAGUUCCUGUGUGCUGCUGCUCUUAUUAUCUACCUGGGUUUGUUUGUUUGGGCUGCCAUUUCCAUGGCUGAAGCUGAAGGAGCGGCUGUAGCUGGUAAUGAAGAGAGGCACUUUGCAUUUCUCCACCAGAAGUAUAGAUCGGUAAAGUACAGAGAAGCUUCAGAGCAUGGUAGCAUUGUUUAUGAGAAGAAUCCAGGACGGACUGACAACCUACUUCUUCUUGGAGUUAUCUACUGCCAGUUUAUGACUUGGUGCUAG
This 1740-nucleotide ribosomal RNA is filed under the name Triticum aestivum (bread wheat). RNAcentral describes it as "partial small subunit ribosomal RNA". Lineage: Eukaryota; Viridiplantae; Streptophyta; Magnoliopsida; Poales; Poaceae. The record is from RNAcentral.